RNAcentral lists this ribosomal RNA (459 nucleotides) under uncultured bacterium. RNAcentral describes it as "partial 16S ribosomal RNA". It matches the Rfam family "Bacterial small subunit ribosomal RNA", at positions 338 to 795 of the family's 1533-position model. The record is from RNAcentral.
CCUACGGGUGGCAGCAGUGAGGAAUAUUGGUCAAUGGGCGGGAGCCUGAACCAGCCAAGCCGCGUGAAGGAAGAAGGCGCCAAGCUUCGUAAACUUCUUUUGUCGGGGAACAAAGGGCGCCACGUGUGGCGUUGUGAGUGUACGCGAAGAAAAAGCAUCGGCUAACUCCGUGCCAUCAGCCGCGGUACUACGGAGGAUGUGAUCGUUAUCCGGAUUUGUUGGGUUUAAGGGGUGCGUAGGCGGUCCGGAAAGUCAGCGGUAAAAGCCCGGGGCUAAACCGCGGCGAGCCGUUGAAACUGUCGGACUAGAGACGGCGAGAGGGACGCAGAAUGCGCGGUGUAGCGGUGAAAUGCAUAGAGAUCGCGCAGAAAUCCGAUUGCGAAGGCAGCACCCCGGUGGACAACUGACGCUCAGGCACGAAAGCGUGGGUAGCGAACAGGAUUAGAUACCCCAGUAGUC